Molecule: long non-coding RNA, 1302 nt
Organism: Manis pentadactyla (Chinese pangolin)
Lineage: Eukaryota; Metazoa; Chordata; Mammalia; Pholidota; Manidae
Exons: 4
Source: RefSeq, a predicted model, not a curated record
AUGAAACCUCCACCCUACCUAAACUUUUGAGUGGAACUGACUGAACUGUACUCUCAGUCUGCUCCACCUGGAGUAGAUAUUCUACCGUAUGAGUAGGUGGAGGAAGAGCACUCAGUCCUCUUGGCAAAACCUAUCAGGAAUAGAGCUUCUGCAACACAGAGUUGGGAAAGAUGAUAAAUGCCAAUGGCUUGUCCAUCCUGGGGUGAAACCACAGCUCUAGUUUGGGAACUUGGGUGAGAGGGAGCCCUCAUCUUCUUGGUCACAUCUACCAGGAAUAGUAUGCCUAGAUUAGCUCCCACAAUAUAUAGCUAGGAGGGAAGGAGGGAGCAGCCUGUGGCUCAAGUGUAGCCACAGACCGUCACUGUUCUUACUUCAAUUUAGUGUAUUUUCUUGAAUGAAUGUUUCUCCAUUUGUUGUAUCCUUAGGAUAACUGCCAGAGAUUUCCAAUGAUUGGAGAUUUUUUGUUUGUAAUUUUCUCCAGUUAAGGUUGUUUUGGGGGGAGAGUCUACCAUGUUCCUUGCUUUACCAUUCUGGCAGCCAAUUUCUAAAUUGUUUUUUGGUGAUAAGAUAAGAGAAAUAUAAAGUGGCUGUAACUAUGUCUGGUAAUAGAAGAAAUUACAAUUCUUUGACAUAGUAAGAAGAAUUUACCUUCCUGUGGUAGAUAGCGAAUUUGGGCCUUAAAAAAUAGUAAUUUGUUUUCUGAAUCUUUAUGUCCUUUUAUAGUCAAAUUUUCCAAGAGGUAAAGAGAGUCCUCCUGAUAAGAAGUUAGACCAGGUGAACAUAAGAGCAAGUCAUACACAUAUUGGAUCAAGGUACUGCCGAGUCACUGCCAGGUGUCAGGGAGAGCAGAUUUUGCUGGGCAUGAAAGCUAUGUGUGCAAGAUGAAUGAGCUUGGUGUGGAUCCUGUUCGUUUGUUUCUCACACUACAGCUGGCCAGCUUGUGUGGACCCACGUUGUCCCCUCUAUAUUUGGGUGCUGCUUCCACAUAAUGGAGACCUGUAAAACAGAGCAUGUCAGAUAAAGGGACACCUAUUCUGCGGUCCGGUGCCCACCUGUGCAUAGCAGCAGAGCCUGCAUGUCCUGUCUUGUGAUGAAUCCAUCGUGCAAGUGCUAAUGUUUCAUCACUAAUGGGAGUAGAACAUUCCACUUCAGCUAUAGCUGCUAAGCAAUCCACAUCAGCGUUAUACUCACGUUCAACCGAAGUCUUCUUAGCGUGAGCGCCUACAUGGAACACAGACAGGUAUCUUUCUAGACGUCGUUGGCUGAAGAACAUUGACAUCUUAACAUUUGAAUUUGCUUGAU